This is a long non-coding RNA of Phalaenopsis equestris, 1436 nucleotides long. RefSeq lists it as uncharacterized. The record is from RefSeq and is a predicted model, not a curated record. The transcript is spliced from 3 exons. NCBI's taxonomy places the organism in Eukaryota, Viridiplantae, Streptophyta, Magnoliopsida, Asparagales, Orchidaceae.
UGGCAAGAGAGAUGGCUGCAGCGCGAAACGCCGAAACGGCGAAUCGAGUGCAUCCGGCUCGGGCCGCUCGGUGCUAUUGAUUCUGAUUCAGGCAGCUCCUGGAUUCGGAUUCUCAUUCCGCCUGCGGAUUUGGACUGAGUUUGAUAUUGCGCAAAUACACAGCUACCCGGUGGCCUCAGUUCAGCAUUUCGCAUGUUGAAUUUGUGGAUUCGCUUUUCUUUUCGCUGCGACAUACAGGCGACGCGAUUAUUUGCCUUUCGCGAUUUGCAGCAGGGCAUGGCUGGGUUUUUUAAACGCUAUAUUACCAGGAGCUCCACACAAUAGGAACUAUCGGAUGCCGCUGGCCCAACCAAAUAGAUUUGAUCGAAUGGCUUUGAGCUAAUCUAUAGGCUGUUAUUGCAGCAAAUUCUAACAAAGUCAUCUUCGGUGCUACUAAUUUUGAAAGGCUUACUGUCCAUUUGGCACAGCGUCGAGGCAGCGGUGCGGUUCGCGAACCACAUUUCUAUCGUUUGUUUUACGCGUUCCUAUCGUGUUCUAUAGAACUUGACAUAUCGUUAAUUUUUAAAGUGCUCUCUCGUUCUGCGUUUUGGCUUAUCAUUUUAAACUUUGCCCCUCUUUAGCUCUCCUCUUUCACUUCCGUCUCUAAACCUUAUCUCUCAAGCUCUCCUCUGUAUGCGAGUAUAGUGAUCCCGACCAAGGUUUUAUCUUUGAUCUCACCUUGGUUGGUUUCACCAAAUUUUUUAUUUCCUUGGGGACGAUCUGUGGUUUUGCCUAUAUCAAGUAUGUGUUGGCCCGAGCUCAUGCAAGUGGGCGAAGCAUUAACAGAAUAAUUGAAUAUGAGAGGAGGCGAAACAUAUAUAACUAUUUAUUCCAAUUGCCAAACUGUUAUAAAUCACUUCAAACUCAAUAUGAGAGUUAUUCAUGCACAUAUUUUAUAAUCAAUUCACAUCAAAUUAUACUGAAAUGAUAACUACCAUAUCAAGCAUUUUUGCAAGCAUAAAAUACCAAGCAUUGCUUAUCUAAACUUGAAUUUCUUUAUAAAGAAUUCAAUCAUAGUUUGAUGGUUAGGAUAUUGCAACAGGAAACUGAAAAUAUAACAUUAAUAGAUUUAAAAAAACACAUGAAGCAUUAAAAGAAUUAAGAUAUCAAAUCAAAUAAAAAUGUCUCACCGAAAUGCCAACAUAAAUGCUCAUUUUCCCUCAUCCUCAAAUCCCCACAUAAAAAUCACCAUGGCAGUCAGUAAGCCGAAAUGUCCAAAUCAUAUGCUAAAAUCAUACCCAACACAUGCGAAAUUCUCCCCACAUAAAAAAAUCUUAAUGCCAACCAGUAACCCUAACUUCAUUAUCAAAAUAGAGUUUGAAAAAACCGAAAUGCUAAGUUGCAGAGGACCAAAAUUUCAUAGAGAAAACUGACAAAAAAAAAAAAAACAUAAUUUU